GACGAACGCUGGCGGCGUGCUUAACACAUGCAAGUCGAGCGGUAAGGCCCUUUCGGGGGUACACGAGCGGCGAACGGGUGAGUAACACGUGGGUGACCUGCCCUUAGCUCUGGGAUAAGCCUGGGAAACUGGGUCUAAUACCGGAUAUGACUCCAUAACGCAUGUUGCGGGGUGGAAAGCCUUGUGCGGCUAGGGAUGGGCCCGCGGCCUAUCAGCUUGUUGGUGGGGUGAUGGCCUACCAAGGCGACGACGGGUAGCCGGCCUGAGAGGGCGACCGGCCACACUGGGACUGAGACACGGCCCAGACUCCUACGGGAGGCAGCAGUGGGGAAUCUUGCGCAAUGGGCGAAAGCCUGACGCAGCGACGCCGCGUGGGGAUGACGGCCU
RNAcentral lists this ribosomal RNA (387 nucleotides) under uncultured bacterium. RNAcentral's name for it is "bacterial SSU rRNA". It matches the Rfam family "Bacterial small subunit ribosomal RNA", at positions 28 to 417 of the family's 1533-position model. The record is from RNAcentral.